This 421-nucleotide ribosomal RNA is filed under the name Fusobacteriota bacterium. RNAcentral's name for it is "Fusobacteria bacterium partial 16S ribosomal RNA". It matches the Rfam family "Bacterial small subunit ribosomal RNA", at positions 355 to 776 of the family's 1533-position model. The record is from RNAcentral. Lineage: Bacteria; Fusobacteriati; Fusobacteriota.
UGGGGAAUAUUGCACAAUGGACGGAAGUUUGAUGCAGCGACGCCGCGUGGAGGGUGUAGGCCUGCGGGUUGUGAACGCCUUUUUCUCGCGAAAAAGGCACAGUUUUGGCGGUGUUGAUGGUAGUGGGGGAAGAAGCGCCGGCUAACUACGUGCCAGCAGCCGCGGUAAUACGUAGGGCGCGAGCGUUGUCCGGAUUUAUUGGGCGUAAAGAGCUCGUAGGUGGUUCGUCGCGUCUGUCGUGAAAGCCAGCAGCUUAACUGUUGGUCUGCGGUGGGUACGGGCGGGCUUGAGUGCGGUAGGGGUGACUGGAAUUCCUGGUGUAGCGGUGGAAUGCGCAGAUAUCAGGAGGAACACCGAUGGCGAAGGCAGGUCACUGGGCCGUUACUGACACUGAGGAGCGAAAGCGUGGGGAGCGAACAGG